This 406-nucleotide ribosomal RNA is filed under the name uncultured bacterium. RNAcentral describes it as "partial 16S ribosomal RNA". It matches the Rfam family "Bacterial small subunit ribosomal RNA", at positions 30 to 526 of the family's 1533-position model. The record is from RNAcentral.
AUUGAACGCUGGCGGCAGGCCUAACACAUGCAAGUCGAGCGAGCGGCGGACGGGUGAGUAAUGUAUGGGAAACUGCCUGAUGGAGGGGGAUAACUACUGGAAACGGUAGCUAAUACCGCAUACCAUCAGAUGUGCCCAGAUGGGAUGUGCUAGUAGGUGGGGUAACGGCUCACCUAGGCGACGAUCCCUAGCUGGUCUGAGAGGAUGACCAGCCACACGGGGACUGGGCCACGGUCCAGCCUCCUACGUGAGGCAUCAGUGGGGAAUAUUGCACAAGGGGCUCAAGCCUGAUGCAGGCAAGCCGCGUGUGUGAAGAAGGCCUUCUGGUUGUAAAGCACUUUCAGCGGGGAGGCGUUACCCGCAGAAGAAGCACCGGCUAACUCCGUGCCAGCAGCCGCGGUAAUAC